UGCCCACUGAUUUUUAUUAAAGGGCUGCAGUAUUUUGACUGUACAAAGGUAGCAUAAUCAUUAGUCAUUUAAUUGAUGACUUGUAUGAAUGAUUGGAUGAAAUAUUAACUGUCUAAUUAUUUAUUAAUAGAAUUUAAUUUUUUAGUUAAAAAGCUAAAAUUUUUUAAAAAGACGAGAAGACCCUUUAGAGUUUUAUUAUUAUAUUUAAUUAAAGUUAUUUAUAUAGAUAAUUAUUUAAUUUUAUUUAAUAAUUUUGUUGGGGUGAUAGAAAGAUUAAUAAAACUUUUUUUUUUUAUAAACAUUGAUAAGUGAAUAAUUGAUCCAAUUAUAUUGAUUAUAAGAAAAAAUUACCUUAGGGAUAACAGCGUAAUUUUAUUUUUUAGUUCAAAUAAAAAAUAGAGUUUGCGACCUCGAUGUUGGAUUAAGAUAAAAUUUAAAUGUAGAAGUUUAAAGUUUUGA
Molecule: ribosomal RNA, 459 nt
Filed under: Dura ippoline
Lineage: Eukaryota; Metazoa; Arthropoda; Insecta; Lepidoptera; Erebidae
Description: partial large subunit ribosomal RNA
Source: RNAcentral